RNAcentral lists this ribosomal RNA (568 nucleotides) under uncultured bacterium. Its description in RNAcentral is "bacterial SSU rRNA". It matches the Rfam family "Bacterial small subunit ribosomal RNA", at positions 339 to 917 of the family's 1533-position model. The record is from RNAcentral.
CUACGGGAGGCAGCAGUGGGGAAUAUUGCGCAAUGGGCGAAAGCCUGACGCAGCAACGCCGCGUGCGGGAUGAAGGCCUUCGGGUUGUAAACCGCUUUCAGCAGGGAAGAAGCGAAAGUGACGGUACCUGCAGAAGAAGCACCGGCUAACUACGUGCCAGCAGCCGCGGUAAUACGUAGGGUGCAAGCGUUGUCCGGAUUUAUUGGGCGUAAAGAGCUCGUAGGCGGUUAGUCACGUCGGAUGUGAAAACCCAGUGCUUAACACUGGGCCUGCAUUCGAUACGGGCUGACUAGAGUGUUGUAGGGGAGACUGGAACUCCUGGUGUAGCGGUGAAAUGCGCAGAUAUCAGGAAGAACACCGGUGGCGAAGGCGGGUCUCUGGGCAACUACUGACGCUGAGGAGCGAAAGCGUGGGGAGCAAACAGGAUUAGAUACCCUGGUAGUCCACGCCGUAAACGGUGGGCGCUAGGUGUGGGGAACAUUCCACGUUCUCCGUGCCGCAGCUAACGCAUUAAGCGCCCCGCCUGGGGAGUACGGCCGCAAGGCUAAAACUCAAAGGAAUUGACGGA